RNAcentral lists this ribosomal RNA (492 nucleotides) under uncultured bacterium. Its description in RNAcentral is "partial 16S ribosomal RNA". It matches the Rfam family "Bacterial small subunit ribosomal RNA", at positions 29 to 507 of the family's 1533-position model. The record is from RNAcentral.
AGUGAACGCUGGCGGUAGGCCUAACACAUGCAAGUCGAACGGCAGCACAGUAAGAGCUUGCUCUUACGGGUGGCGAGUGGCGGACGGGUGAGGAAUACAUCGGAAUCUACUUUUUCGUGGGGGAUAACGUAGGGAAACUUACGCUAAUACCGCAUACGACCUACGGGUGAAAGCAGGGGAUCUUCGGACCUUGCGCGAUUGAAUGAGCCGAUGUCGGAUUAGCUAGUGGGCGGGGUAAAGGCCCACCAAGGCGACGAUCCGUAGCUGGUCAGGGAGAUGGAUCGGCGCUAGUCGGACUGGAAGACGGGCCAGACUCCUACGGAGGGACGCAGCGGGGAAUAUUGGACAAUGGGAGCAAGCCUGAUCCAGCAAUACCGGGUGGGUUAAGAAGGCAUUCGGGUGGUAAAGCCGUUUUGUUGGGAAAGAAAAGCAGCAGGCUAAUAAGCCGCUGUUCUGACGGUACCCAAAGAAUAAGCACCGGCUAACUUCGUG